RNAcentral lists this transfer RNA (73 nucleotides) under Ephydatia muelleri. RNAcentral's name for it is "tRNA-Val". It matches the Rfam family "tRNA". From Rfam's summary of the family: Transfer RNA (tRNA) molecules are approximately 80 nucleotides in length. Their secondary structure includes four short double-helical elements and three loops (D, anti-codon, and T loops). Lineage: Eukaryota; Metazoa; Porifera; Demospongiae; Spongillida; Spongillidae. The record is from RNAcentral.
AGGUGUUUAACUCAGUUGGUAGAGUAUCGUGUUUACACCACGGAGGUCGAAAGUUCGAUUCUUUCAGCNCCUA